This 29-nucleotide non-coding RNA is filed under the name Mus musculus (house mouse). Lineage: Eukaryota; Metazoa; Chordata; Mammalia; Rodentia; Muridae. The record is from RNAcentral.
UCAAAGCGUGAUUUUUCCUGCCCGCUUGC